RNAcentral lists this ribosomal RNA (319 nucleotides) under Devylderia cf. capensis 33_Dv_61. RNAcentral's name for it is "partial 12S ribosomal RNA". Lineage: Eukaryota; Metazoa; Arthropoda; Insecta; Orthoptera; Lentulidae. The record is from RNAcentral.
UUAAACCCAAAGAAUUUGGCGGUACUUUAUUCUAUUUAGAGGAACCUGUCCCAUGAUUGAUAGUUCACGAUUAACUUUACUUAAUCUAUUUGUUUGUAUAUCUCCGUUAUCAGAAAAUCUUUUUAGAGUUUUUAAUUUUCGAGAUUUUUUAUUAUAAAAUAUUUCAGGUCAAGGUGCAGCUUAUGAUUAAGAGGAGGUGGGUUACAAUAAAUUUUUAUUUAUUACGGAUUAUUUUUUGUAAAAUUUAUAUUAAGGUGGAUUUAAUAGUAAAUUAUUUAAUUUAAUUUAAUUGAUAUAAGCUCUGAGGUGUGUACACAUC